UCACAAUAAGAUCUAUAUCCUUAUUUCCUCUUUCCCCUUUAUGGCUUUCUCCGCUCAUCUCUAUCUCUCUUCCUGCAGACCUCAAAACACCUUCGUUCCCCUUUCUCAUAUCUUCCUCUCUUCUAAUCUGCAGACCCGAAAAAAUAAAAUUCUUCCUUCAUCAGUUCUUUACUUAAUAAUUACAUAAACAUUGAUGUAAGUGAUGAAUUUAAUUUCUUUUUUUUCCUCAAUAACAGUUCAGCACAGGUCUGAAAAACCAUAGUUUGAAUCGAAGAGGAAAUGAAUCCUUAUUGGAUUUUUGUUUUUCGAUUCAACUUUUAUUACUUAAGAACUCGUGUUCUUGUGAAAGGAAGAAAAUAUGGUUAUAGCUGAUUUCGAUGGCCAUCUGAUCCCCUAAUUAGAUCGGAGAGGACUGCGAAGAUGAUAUGCGUCGUAAGGAGGGCUUGAAUAAUUGUUGAUGGAUUUAAUGUUGGUGGCGGAAUGGUCUGGUGGUGUUCGGGAUGCUGAUGGUGCUGCUAGUGGUAGUGUUUGGAUGUGCAUGUGUUGGUGUUGCUGCUACCAAAAGGUGGUGGUGGUAUCUUAAUAAUUACAUAAAUAUUGAUGCAAGUGAUGAAUCUUGCAGAUGGUUUAUGUAAUUCUGUAUUUGUUGCCUUGAUUAUCUAAUCUAACAAGAUGAUAAUUGCAUGAUAUUCAUCAACAAUGGCAUAAUAUUUAUAUGACAGCUAGCACCGCUUUCUUUCGGGAGUAUACUGCAAUUACGGAUUUUUGUCUGCCAUACCUUUUCACUAAUCGUCAACAACUGAUUUAUUUGCAUGUACUUUAUUUUUUUUACACUGCAUUUUUCAGUUCUUACAUUGCAUUUUUCUUUCGUUUUGGAUGUUUUUUGGCGAAUACAUUUUUGCUAUCCUCUUGACUCAAGUGUAAAUUAUAGAACUAGAAGUUACGAUGUACAACGGACGGGCUUUAGACUACUUAAUAUUAAUUGUAAUUUUCACAUUUCUACGUGAUAGUCUUUGAACUUAACUUCUGUAUGUUUCCAUUAUCAUGUCUUAGUCUUUCGAAGUUUAGAUAAUUACUAACUUGAGUGUGUGUAUUCAAAUGUUUCAUACCCUUGCUUUGAGUUCCAGAUGAAUGUAUGUAAUCCAACUCAAUCAAUUUUUUUUAAUGCAGGGUCAGUAUUGAGGAACAUAUUAUAAAGAGCACUUCCGGUUUUAAUAGUCGUAGAACUGGAAUUCUUGAGAGCACGAGUUGUUCUAUGCAAUCAUUUAUUACAGCAAUAAGAUUUUUUUUUUGUUAGCUCAUCAAUUGGACGAGCAUUAGAUGCCCUUGGUUCAGUCAGUAAAUCUGAUUAUUAAGUGCUGAAUUCUUAUUAUAUAGCAGGCUAAUACUCCGAAAUUCUCUGACUUCUUCGCUGCAAGUUUUAUUCUUGCUAAAGGUAUUAAGGUGGGAAGUUCACUCAACAAGGCUAUAUUUCGCUAGCAUGAACAAGUAGGAUUGAUCAGCUGGGUGUAAAAAGCAAAGGAGAGAGGUUUAAGAGAAACAACUGUAAAUGGUUCAACUCAAGGUGGUUACACAGGCAGAGAUCUGAAGUGAUGUAUUAUUUUUGUUCAGGUAACAUUUCGAUAUUAAUAUCAAUUUCAAUAUUCAUAUUUGCUUACUACCAGCUGUAACAAUGCUGCUAAUUUCAUGCGAUUGCAACAUAUUUAACUUCCUCUUGUGUUGCAGGAGCAUAGUAGUGUAAUGGAGACUUAUUUUUGCUGCAGGUACUCUAUUAUUAAGUGUAGGCUCAGUUAUCAUUUGGGAGGGGAAUUUAUCAUUCUGCUGGUGAAUCACACUUGUCUUUAAGCUUACAACGUACUAGUUAGAACUUAUACUGAUAUGAAGUAAGGAUUUAAAUCCUUUUUGCGUAAUGAAUGAAUGCCGAAUGAAAAGAAUAUCUUGAAUCUGUGAGUGCAGGUUUCAUUUUAGCUUCAAUGAAUGAAUUUUGUCUUAUUUCA
Long non-coding RNA from Papaver somniferum (opium poppy), 1997 nucleotides. RefSeq lists it as uncharacterized. The transcript is spliced from 4 exons. NCBI's taxonomy places the organism in Eukaryota, Viridiplantae, Streptophyta, Magnoliopsida, Ranunculales, Papaveraceae. The record is from RefSeq and is a predicted model, not a curated record.